Molecule: ribosomal RNA, 497 nt
Filed under: uncultured bacterium
Lineage: Bacteria
Description: partial 16S ribosomal RNA
Rfam family: Bacterial small subunit ribosomal RNA
Source: RNAcentral
GAUGAACGCUGGCGGCGUGCCUAAUACAUGCAAGUCGAGCGAACAGAUGAGGAGCUUGCUCCUCUGACGUUAGCGGCGGACGGGUGAGUAACACGUGGAUAACCUACCUAUAAGACUGGGAUAACUUCGGGAAACCGGAGCUAAUACCGGAUAAUAUAUUGAACCGCAUGGUUGAAUAGUGAAAGACGGUUUUGCUGUCACUUAUAGAUGGAUCCGCGCCGCAUUAGCUAGUUGGUAAGGUAACGGCUUACCAAGGCGACGAUGCGUAGCCGACCUGAGAGGGUGAUCGGCCACACUGGAACUGAGACACGGUCCAGAGUCCUACGGGAGGCAGCAGUAGGGAAUCUUCCGAAAUGGGCGGAAGACUGACGGAGCAACGCCGCGUGAGUGAUGAAGGUCUUCGGAUCGUAAAACUCUGUUAUUAGGGAAGAACAAAUGUGUAAGUAACUAUGCACGUCUUGACGGUACCUAAUCAGAAAGCCACGGCUAACUACGUG